Molecule: unclassified non-coding RNA, 314 nt
Filed under: uncultured Thelephoraceae
Lineage: Eukaryota; Fungi; Basidiomycota; Agaricomycetes; Thelephorales; Thelephoraceae
Description: sequence contains ITS2
Source: RNAcentral
AACGCACCUUGCGCCCUUUGGCUAUUCCGAAGGGCAUGCCUGUUUGAGUAUCAUGAACACCUCAACCCUCACGGUUCCUCGUGAUGGGCUUGGACUUGGGGGCUUUGUUGGCCUGUGGUCAGCUCUCCUCAAAUAAAUCAGCUCGCCAGUGUCUGGCGGCAUCAUGGGUGUGAUAACCAUCUACGCUUGUGAUCGCCUGCGAGGUAAACCUCUGGUCUGCAGAGGUUCGCUGGAGCUUAUAGAUGUCUCUCCUCCGUGAAGACAGCUGUCUGAAGUUCGAUCUCAAAUCAGGUAGGACUACCCGCUGAACUUAA